GAUGAAGAACGCAGCGAAAUGCGAUAACUAAUGUGAAUUGCAGAAUUCAGUGAAUCAUCGAGUCUUUGAACGCACAUUGCGCCCCCUGGUAUUCCGGGGGGCAUGCCUGUCCGAGCGUCAUUGCUGCCCUUAAGCCCGGCUUGUGUGUUGGGCCCCGUCCCCCUCUCCGGGGGACGGGCCCGAAAGGCAGCGGCGGCACCGAGUCCGGUCCUCGAGCGUAUGGGGCUUUGUCACCCGCUCUGUAGGCCCGGCCGGCGCCAGCUGACAACCCAUCAUCCUUUUCAGGUUGACCUCGGAUCAGGUAGGGAUACCCGCUGAACUUAAGCAUAUCAAUAAGCGGAGGA
Molecule: unclassified non-coding RNA, 344 nt
Filed under: soil metagenome
Description: partial contains 5.8S ribosomal RNA, internal transcribed spacer 2, and large subunit ribosomal RNA
Rfam family: 5.8S ribosomal RNA (bases 1-120)
Source: RNAcentral